This 1823-nucleotide long non-coding RNA is filed under the name Homo sapiens (human). Its description in RNAcentral is "HSALNT0179910". Lineage: Eukaryota; Metazoa; Chordata; Mammalia; Primates; Hominidae. The record is from RNAcentral.
AUUGGGCGUGUUUAUUCAUUCACUUAUUCCACAAAAUAUUUGUGUCUACUACUACUUUCAGAGCUUAGUGAGCAGCACUGUGGAUACAAAGAUACAAAGUCACUUUCCCUGCCUUUGAGUUGUGCUUCCUGCAGUAGGUGAGCCAAGUACAUGAAUGGAUGAAUGCCAUGUGGGAUGGCACAGGAGGUGGUGGUGCAGGUGGAAGUGGUGAUAAAGAUGAAAAUAGUGGUAGAGGUAGUAUGGGUGGUAGUGUUGGUGGAGGUUGUGUUGUUUUUAUUGCAGGUGGUGUUGAUGGUAGUAAUAAUUUUCUCUACCAGGCUCUACCUAUGUGCCAGGUAUUGGGAUAACACCUUCUGUGUCUUAUGUACUCACUCCCCCGACAACAUACCAAGAGACAGGCAUUCUUAUCCAUGUUUGAUAGAUGUGGGGACCCAACUUGUCUGUAGUCAGUUAGCUCAUAAUUAAGUGGCAUAUCAAGAUUCACAGACAGGUCUGUCCAACUUCAAGGUACCAGCCCUUAACCCUCUUGACUGCCACAUUGGUCUGUGCUACACCGUUUGCUAUGGGCAGAAGACCUUGAACUGUGUCUGGAGAAGAUUAUGUUAGGUCACCUCUCCCAAAGAAUGUACUGCUUCUGCUGUGGCUCUGAAAGACAAAGUGGAGGAAGGCACUCCAACAAAAAUGCAGCAUUUAGUUUGAGACUUAAGUCUACGUAAUAAAAAUAAAAGUAACUUUUCGCUCACUAAAAAAUAAAUAAUGCACAUAUGACUUGGCUAAAUAAAGAAUGCAAAUAUGACUUGGCUAGUCAGGACAGACUUAUUUAUAGAGACAGUUGGGAGUCGGCUUUGGUGCGUGACGAGAGAGGUCCCUGGGAAAGCAGAGAGGAGCUGAAGGUGGCCCAGAGCCAGCCGUGCUCACAUGAAGAACAAUCAGAGCAUCCAUCAAAGUGAAUGUGGCAGUCCUGGAGAGGCCCGGAACUCAGAGCCACAGGAGACUCAGUAAGGACACCAGCCAAAGAAAAUAGUAAUCUAAAAUGAUCCCAGAGAGAAAAGAUCUUUCUAAAAGAUGUGUUCCACAGAUGAAUUUGCUGAAGCACUUCCAUAUUUGUGAAUGGAAAUUCAGUUACUGUGACUGCCUAACAAAUCACUUUAACCUAAUAGCAAAAAGCAGCCAUUAUUAUGCUCUCAGUCUGCAGGUCAAGAAUUUGGACAAGGCAUGGCAGGAACAGCUUGUCUCUGCUCCAUGCUAUCUGAGGUCUUAGUUGCAAGCUCAAAGGCUCAGGGCUUAGAAUCAUUUGAAGGUUCUUCCUCAUACAUGUUUGGGGGAUGAUGCUGUUUCGGGGGCUUCAGUUCCUCUCCACUUAAAUAUUUCCCUGUGAUCUCUGCAUGGGUUAGUUUGGGCUUCCUUCCAGCCUGGGUUCUGGGUUCCAAGGGUGAGCGUCCUUUGUCUUCCCUCUGACUUGACAUAGGUUAGGUCUUCUAACCACAUGCAGGCUGCUGCUUAUAUAUUUUGGUUAGCCUGAAGUUGCUCUUGUCAAGGUCACCAAUAACUUCCGUGUUGCUAAAUCCAAUGGUCAAUUCUCAGCCCCCGCCUCACUUGACCUAUCAGCCAGUUGAUCAUUCUUCCUUCUGGAAAUGAUGCUUUCUUUUGGCUUCCAGGACUCCAAGUUCUCCUAGAUUUUCUGUGUUUCACUGGCCACUCCUUGUUAAUCUUCUUUAACUGGGUACUCUUCUAUUCCCGGACUAUAGAAGGUCCUGGGGCUUUUCUUCUCUAUAAACAUUCAUGUCCUUAUCUAGCCCCAUGGAUUUAAGUAAGACUUACAU